GAUGAACGCUGGCGGCGUGCCUAAUACAUGCAAGUCGAGCGAACAGACGAGGAGCUUGCUCCUUUGACGUUAGCGGCGGACGGGUGAGUAACACGUAGGUAACCUACCUAUAAGACUGGGAUAACUUCGGGAAACCGGAGCUAAUACCGGAUAAUAUUUCGAACCGCAUGGUUCGAUAGUGAAAGAUGGCUUUGCUAUCACUUAUAGAUGGACCUGCGCCGUAUUAGCUAGUUGGUAAGGUAACGGCUUACCAAGGCAACGAUACGUAGCCGACCUGAGAGGGUGAUCGGCCACACUGGAACUGAGACACGGUCCAGACUCCUACGGGAGGCAGCAGUAGGGAAUCUUCCGCAAUGGGCGAAAGCCUGACGGAGCAACGCCGCGUGAGUGAUGAAGGUCUUCGGAUCGUAAAACUCUGUUAUUAGGGAAGAACAAAAGUGUAAGUAACUGUGCACGUCCUGACGGUACCUAAUCAGAAAGCCACGGCUAACUACGUG
RNAcentral lists this ribosomal RNA (497 nucleotides) under uncultured bacterium. Its description in RNAcentral is "partial 16S ribosomal RNA". It matches the Rfam family "Bacterial small subunit ribosomal RNA", at positions 28 to 507 of the family's 1533-position model. The record is from RNAcentral.